GAUGAACGCUGGCGGCGUGCCUAAUACAUGCAAGUCGAGCGAACAGAUGAGGAGCUUGCUCCUCUGACGUUAGCGGCGGACGGGUGAGUAACACGUGGAUAACCUACCUAUAAGACUGGGAUAACUUCGGGAAACCGGAGCUAAUACCGGAUAAUAUAUUGAACCGCAUGGUUCAAUAGUGAAAGACGGUUUUGCUGUCACUUAUAGAUGGAUCCGCGCCGCAUUAGCUAGUUGGUAAGGUAACGGCUUACCAAGGCAACGAUGCGUAGCCGACCUGAGAGGGUGAUAGGCCACACGGGAACUGAGACACGGUCCAGACUCCUACGGGAGGCAGCAGUAGGGAAUCUUCCGCAAUGGGCGAAGGCCUGACGGAGCAACGCCGCGUGAGUGAUGAAGGUCUUCGGAUCGUAAAACUCUGUUAUUAGGGAAGAACAAAUGUGUAAGUAACUAUGCACGUCUUGACGGUACCUAAUCAGAAAGCCACGGCUAACUACGUG
Molecule: ribosomal RNA, 497 nt
Filed under: uncultured bacterium
Lineage: Bacteria
Description: partial 16S ribosomal RNA
Rfam family: Bacterial small subunit ribosomal RNA
Source: RNAcentral